Molecule: ribosomal RNA, 253 nt
Filed under: uncultured bacterium
Lineage: Bacteria
Description: partial 16S ribosomal RNA
Rfam family: Bacterial small subunit ribosomal RNA
Source: RNAcentral
UACAGGGGGGGCAAGCGUUGUUCGGAAUUACUGGGCGUAAAGGGCUCGUAGGCGGCCAACUAAGUCACACGUGAAAUCCCCAGGCUUAACCUGGGAACUGCGUGUGAUACUGGAUGGCUUGAAUCCGGGAGAGGGAUGCAGAAUUCCAGGUGUAGCGGUGGAAUGCGUAGAGAUCCGGAGGAAGACCGGUGGCGAAGGCGCUCUGCUGGGCAGUCUCUGACACUGAGGCGCGACAGCGUGGGGAGCAAACAGG